UUUCUUGGAUCUCGGUUUCCUCUUCCUGGAUUUGACUGCUGUAUUAAUUUCUGCAGCUGCACCCACACCAACAUGGUCACUAGAACCACCUCCUGGUUCCUCUAAAACACCAACAUCCACUUUGUCAAGACUGUUAUUUGGGCUGCCAUCAAUCUGUUUCUUUUCCUUUCCAUUGGAGAGGGCCACCAGUCCACUUGCACCUACAACAUUACCAUCACAGCCAACUUGCUUGCUCAGAACACAAGACUCCAAUUGCUCCAGACUGUUGUUUAGGAUGUUUCUUGCUUUUGAUCUCCGUUUCUUCUUCUUGGAUUUGAUUUGUGCUUGUGCUUCCAGUUCAAUUGAAGGCUGUAUUUCUAGUCCAUUAGCUCCUACCUUAUGAGCAUUGCCAUCUAUCUGCUUUCCAAGCUGGUCACUUGCAUGGCUUCUUUGUUCCCUAAAAGCAUAGAUAUCAUCAGCUUCAAUCUGUCUCCUUCUACUAGACCUUCGUUUUCUUUUCUUGGAUUUCACCUGUUUCUUUAUUUCCACUUCCCCUUCUGUGCCUACAUGAACAUCAUAACCUUGCCUCUUCUCCCCGACAAUGCAACUCCCUAGCUUCUCAACAUUGGUGCAUUUAUCCAUUUUCUGAGUCUCACAUUUUGAGUGAUUCCUAUGAAUGGAAUGCUCCAACUCCACAACAUUGUUAUCUGGGACACCAAAACCUUCACUCCGUUUUCUUUUCCUUAAUCUCCUUUUCGCUUUUUUAGAUUGAAUUUCUAUUCUUAUUUCCUUAACUCCAUCAUCACCUGCAUGGUUACCAUCUCUCCGUUCACUAAGAAUGCUCUGCUUCAAUUUCUCUGUGUUGUGUGGAACACCUUCACCUUCACUUCUUCUUUCUUUAAAUCUGUCAUCAAUGAAGUUCUUAUUAUCUUUGCUCCAUUUCUUUUUCCAGGCAUUAACUUUUGUUCGGAUUCCCCCCAAUCUAUAUGCAUCUACACGGAAACCAGGUCCCUUGUAUCCACAGAUAUCUUCUUGUUUGGCGGGAUAACACGAAGACACAAGUCGAUGAGCCAAAUUUGCCAGAUGGGGACCUGAAAUGGACUUUGGGAUUGGCCUUCUAGAAGAUACCCCUUUGGAAACAACUGUCUCAUGCCAAAUAUGUGGUGGUGAAAUUUCCUGUUCGCCCACAGACUUGCCAGGCAAGAUCACUUCCUCUGGUAGUUUUGAGAUAUGACAAUGAAACACUGGGUACUUGUAUGAGAUAGAUAUGACUUCAUUAUUUGCAAUCAUCUGCAUGCUUUCAAUUGGUGAAUAUACUUCCGCAGGCCACACAGAUUUAUCAGAAUUACAAAUAAAUCCAUUCAUUCCACCGCUGAUUUUUGGGUCAAUUUUCUGUAACACAUUAGGAUGACAAUUCUGCUUAGAAAAUUGAAUUAUAAUAUCGGCCAGAGGAUGUGAAAUAUGAACAAAUAGGAUAUCCAAAUCCAAACUGUUUCUCUGUCUUUCAUCAUCCGUCAAUUCGUGCUCCACUUGAGCAACUGCUGAAAGAAGACGGGACUCUUCAAUGAAUGGCAAUAUGCAAACUGCCUGCCAUUUACGACGUUUUCCAUUCAAAUCAAGCCUAAAAUCAGAAGGAUAAAAGUCCAGUAUAGGAGACGAUGCAUCUG
This 1646-nucleotide unclassified non-coding RNA is filed under the name Hevea brasiliensis (rubber tree). Lineage: Eukaryota; Viridiplantae; Streptophyta; Magnoliopsida; Malpighiales; Euphorbiaceae. The record is from RNAcentral.